UACGUAGGGAGCAAGCGUUAUCCGGAUUUAUUGGGUGUAAAGGGUGCGUAGACGGGAAGGCAAGUUGGUUGUGAAAUCCCUCGGCUUAACUGAGGAACUGCAACCAAAACUAUCUUACUUGAGUGCAGGAGAGGAGAGUGGAAUUCCAUGUGUAGCGGUGAAAUGCGUAGAUAUAUGGAGGAACACCGGUGGCGAAAGCGGCUCUCUGGCCUGUAACUGACACCGAGGCUCGAAAGCGUGGGGAGCAAACAGG
RNAcentral lists this ribosomal RNA (253 nucleotides) under uncultured bacterium. Its description in RNAcentral is "partial 16S ribosomal RNA". It matches the Rfam family "Bacterial small subunit ribosomal RNA", at positions 524 to 776 of the family's 1533-position model. The record is from RNAcentral.